CCUACGGGCGGCAGCAGUGGGGAAUAUUGGACAAUGGGCGAAAGCCUGAUCCAGCCAUGCCGCGUGUGUGAAGAAGGCCUUCGGGUUGUAAAGCACUUUCAGUGGGGAAGAAAGCCUUGGGGCUAAUACCCUCGAGGAAGGACAUCACCCACAGAAGAAGCACCGGCUAACUCCGUGCCAGCAGCCGCGGUAAUACGGAGGGUGCGAGCGUUAAUCGGAAUUACUGGGCGUAAAGCGCGCGUAGGCGGUCUGAUAAGCCGGUUGUGAAAGCCCCGGGCUCAACCUGGGAACGGCAUCCGGAACUGUCAGGCUAGAGUGCAGGAGAGGAAGGUAGAAUUCCCGGUGUAGCGGUGAAAUGCGUAGAGAUCGGGAGGAAUACCAGAGGCGAAGGCGGCCUUCUGGACUGACACUGACGCUGAGGUGCGAAAGCGUGGGUAGCAAACAGGAUUAGAUACCCGAGUAGUC
Molecule: ribosomal RNA, 465 nt
Filed under: Vreelandella stevensii
Lineage: Bacteria; Pseudomonadati; Pseudomonadota; Gammaproteobacteria; Oceanospirillales; Halomonadaceae
Description: partial 16S ribosomal RNA
Rfam family: Bacterial small subunit ribosomal RNA
Source: RNAcentral